UGGGGAAUUUUGGACAAUGGGCGAAAGCCUGAUCCAGCAAUGCCGCGUGUGUGAAGAAGGCCUUCGGGUUGUAAAGCACUUUUGUCCGGAAAGAAAUCCUUGGCUCUAAUACAGUCGGGGGAUGACGGUACCGGAAGAAUAAGCACCGGCUAACUACGUGCCAGCAGCCGCGGUAAUACGUAGGGUGCAAGCGUUAAUCGGAAUUACUGGGCGUAAAGCGUGCGCAGGCGGUUUGCUAAGACCGAUGUGAAAUCCCCGGGCUCAACCUGGGAACUGCAUUGGUGACUGGCAGGCUAGAGGUAUGGCAGAGGGGGGUAGAAUUCCACGUGUAGCAGUGAAAUGCGUAGAGAUGUGGAGGAAUACCGAUGGCGAAGGCAGCCCCUGGGCAAUACUGACGCUCAUGCACGAAAGCGUGGGGAGCAAACAGGAUUAGAUACCCUAGGUAGUCCACGCCCUAAAGCGAUGUCAACUAGUU
Molecule: ribosomal RNA, 475 nt
Filed under: uncultured bacterium
Lineage: Bacteria
Description: partial 16S ribosomal RNA
Rfam family: Bacterial small subunit ribosomal RNA
Source: RNAcentral